UACGACUACAUAUCAGGCAUAUCAAUAAGCGGAGGAAAAGAAACUAACAAGGAUUCCCCUAGUAACGGCGAGUGAAGCGGGAAGAGCUCAAAUUUGAAAUCUUAAAGGGUUUCCCUUUACGAAUUGUAGUUUAAAGAAGUGUUUUCUGUUGGAGUUUCGGUAAAAGUUCUUUGGAAUAGGACAUCAUAGAGGGUGAGAAUCCCGUAUUUGACCGUUACUUUCCAGCUGUGUGAUACACUUUCAAAGAGUCGGAUUGUUUGGGAAUGCAGUCCAAGAUGGGUGGUAAAUUUCAUCUAAAGCUAAAUAUUGGCGAGAGACCGAUAGCGAACAAGUACCGUGAGGGAAAGAUGAAAAGAACUUUGAAAAGAGAGUUAAACAGUACGUGAAAUUGUCAAAUAGGGAAGCGUUUGACACCAGUGUUGUUUUCUCGAAAAUCAAUUAAAAAUGGCCGGAUUUUGUGUUGUAUUGACUUUAUCAGCUUUCUGCACUUUUUUCUUGUCUUUUUUAAUGCACUUUUCGUUUAACAAGUCAACAUCAGUUUCUUUUGUUGUAAAAAGGUCAUUGGAAGGUGGCUUUCUUUUCGGAGAAAGUGUUUAUAGCCUUUGACUUCUGCAAUCGGAGAGAUUGAGGUCUGCAGCGUAGAUCCUUCUGGAUUAGAUCACUUUGUGCUAAGUUAUAGCUUUUCAUAGACAACUUGUUGACUAUGUUUAGUCUUGUAGCUUACUCGCUUAUGCUAUUUUACCUACGCUUAGGAUGUUG
RNAcentral lists this ribosomal RNA (759 nucleotides) under uncultured Neocallimastigales. RNAcentral describes it as "partial large subunit ribosomal RNA". It matches the Rfam family "Eukaryotic large subunit ribosomal RNA", at positions 24 to 628 of the family's 3401-position model. Lineage: Eukaryota; Fungi; Neocallimastigomycota; Neocallimastigomycetes; Neocallimastigales. The record is from RNAcentral.